Molecule: long non-coding RNA, 115 nt
Organism: Rhagoletis zephyria (snowberry fruit fly)
Lineage: Eukaryota; Metazoa; Arthropoda; Insecta; Diptera; Tephritidae
Source: RefSeq, a predicted model, not a curated record
AUCAAUACUUCCGAUUAGGGAUGCAAGUUUUGGGGAGUAACAUCUAUACAACGAUGUUUCGAUGCAUCGGAAAAAUGAACAUCGAUGAUAAAAUACAUCGCCAGAAAAACAUCGA